GCCUUCGUGGUGUAAUGGUCAGCACACCGAGCCGGUAUCUUAGAGGUCCGUGGUUCGAUCCCCGGCGAAGGCA
This 73-nucleotide transfer RNA is filed under the name Stegodyphus mimosarum. It matches the Rfam family "tRNA". Rfam says of the family: Transfer RNA (tRNA) molecules are approximately 80 nucleotides in length. The record is from Rfam by way of RNAcentral. Lineage: Eukaryota; Metazoa; Arthropoda; Arachnida; Araneae; Eresidae.